AGAGUUUGAUCAUGGCUCAGGACGAACGCUGGCGGCGUGCCUAAUACAUGCAAGUCGAGCGGACAGAAGGGAGCUUGCUCCCGGAUGUUAGCGGCGGACGGGUGAGUAACACGUGGGUAACCUGCCUGUAAGACUGGGAUAACUCCGGGAAACCGGAGCUAAUACCGGAUAGUUCCUUGAACCGCAUGGUUCAAGGAUGAAAGACGGUUUCGGCUGUCACUUACAGAUGGACCCGCGGCGCAUUAGCUAGUUGGUGAGGUAACGGCUCACCAAGGCGACGAUGCGUAGCCGACCUGAGAGGGUGAUCGGCCACACUGGGACUGAGACACGGCCCAGACUCCUACGGGAGGCAGCAGUAGGGAAUCUUCCGCAAUGGACGAAAGUCUGACGGAGCAACGCCGCGUGAGUGAUGAAGGUUUUCGGAUCGUAAAGCUCUGUUGUUAGGGAAGAACAAGUGCAAGAGUAACUGCUUGCACCUUGACGGUACCUAACCAGAAAGCCACGGCUAACUACGUGCCAGCAGCCGCGGUAAUACGUAGGUGGCAAGCGUUGUCCGGAAUUAUUGGGCGUAAAGGGCUCGCAGGCGGUUUCUUAAGUCUGAUGUGAAAGCCCCCGGCUCAACCGGGGAGGGUCAUUGGAAACUGGGAAACUUGAGUGCAGAAGAGGAGAGUGGAAUUCCACGUGUAGCGGUGAAAUGCGUAGAGAUGUGGAGGAACACCAGUGGCGAAAGCGACUCUCUGGUCUGUAACUGACGCUGAGGAGCGAAAGCGUGGGGAGCGAACAGGAUUAGAUACCCUGGUAGUCCACGCCGUAAACGAUGAGUGCUAAGUGUUAGGGGGUUUCCGCCCCUUAGUGCUGCAGCUAACGCAUUAAGCGCUCCGCCUGGGGAGUACGGUCGCAGACUGAAACUCAAAGUAUGACG
This 922-nucleotide ribosomal RNA is filed under the name Bacillus sp. IR-451. RNAcentral's name for it is "bacterial SSU rRNA". It matches the Rfam family "Bacterial small subunit ribosomal RNA", at positions 8 to 915 of the family's 1533-position model. Lineage: Bacteria; Bacillati; Bacillota; Bacilli; Caryophanales; Bacillaceae. The record is from RNAcentral.